GCCCCCUGCAUGAAGCACCACUAUGUCCGGAAUCUGUCCCAAAAUAAUUUUGUGAAACAUUUCCUCACAUAUAACAUUCCAACCCCAGCCCCGGUAACCAAACAACCGAAGCUGCACCACAGAACUUGUAAAGCCCAGCUGUAGACCGUGACGUCGAACUGCAGCUCUCCGUUGCGCCCAUUGUACGUAUGAGUGGCUGACCACCCAUGCCAU
Molecule: non-coding RNA, 213 nt
Organism: Pelobates cultripes (western spadefoot toad)
Lineage: Eukaryota; Metazoa; Chordata; Amphibia; Anura; Pelobatidae
Source: the annotation of a GenBank genome assembly